GGGGGCGGGCCCGCGAGCACUGCAGCCCCGAGCCAGAGGGGUGGAAGGUCGUCGAGUGCUUGGAGGGGAGGUGGAGCGGCGACUGAGCGCCCCAGGAGCUGGCUGCAACCCGGACGCGGCCAAGGAGCGUUUGGUACCGGCUAAUGGGGCGGGGGUGCGGGGCCCGAGCCCAGUCAAGGAGCAGCACCUACCUCCGGGGGUGGAAAUGGGCCGGAAUGGGCCGGAACACCGUCCCGGAAGUGAAACCCCCCGCCCCCUCCUCCGGAGCGGGCGACGUGCCGGAAGGAAAUCAGUCACCCUCACACCGCCCCUCCCCCAGCGCGUUCCUUGCAGGAGCCCCCUCCCCUCAGCCUUUACUCCUCAGGGAGGCAGUGGGCGGGCCUAACGUGCCCGCGGCGACUCCGCCUUCCAGGACCUCUGGGGCGUGGCCAGCGGGAAAAUUUGAGGGCGUGGAGGAGGUGGGGCCUGAGGAGGAGUCUUAGGGCGUGCGAGGGGCGGGUCUUAAUGGGCGCAGGGGGCCGCCUUGCGUCUUGACGUCACGAAGACUUUAUAUACUCGACUCAGCCGCCAUAUCGGCCUUUCGCAGCUGUUCGGCGACUUGAGCAGGUAUGUGAAUUGUUGAAUAAGUUUUCGUUUCGGGCCUUCGAAGCUGAAGCACCGAAAACUGGUGGAAUUCUGGGGCCAGCAGGUGUGCUUAGUUUAAGGCACAAGCUGAAAACUUUGGGAGAUUGGCUCUGCGUGUGUUUGUGCCAUAAGGUGGUAGUAUUGGGUUUUAACAUGAAAAACCUACAAAGACGACUCAGCAUGCGUGUUUUUGCUAUGAUGAAGGCUAUGUUGGUAGGGACAACUGACCUUGUUGAUGAAUACCAACAAUUCUGAUGGCAGAGCAUGCGGAGUCACCUAAAGCGGCCUUUCUUACUUGCUAAUUUGCGGUUCACCAUAAACCAUGGCGGAAUGCAGAGCCCUACGGUGUGUAUUUCGAGAUCACCAUGCCGUUGAAGGCAUUCGCUAGAAGCGGCCACUAAGUAGUCCUUAAUCGUAAGGUGUCGGGACUUAAGUGUAAUUGCUGGGUAUGUGCUUUCCCCAUACACAAAGUGUCUAUGUAAACUUUUUCUUUUGUUAAGAUUGACCUGUUUUUGUGGGAGAAAAUCUAAAACAACGAAUUUUUCUUAGGAAUGGCGCUGUGGACCUCUGUGAUGGGGCAUCUAGUGGACUGUCACAGGCAGUUCUGUGGAAAAGACGGAUGAAGACUAAAGAUUCAUGAAGAAGUUGGAUAACCAAACAAGAGCAAUGUGCUGAAUCAGAUGGAUCAGGGCAGCUUUUAACUAUUUGGAAAAGAAGAUGGUGGAGAUUGAGGCUGGAUAGAGAGUUUUAAGAGUACAAAUGAAAAUUGGAACAAAGGUAUCACACAUGGGUGCCUUUAACUGAAUGCACUGUGCAAGCUUAACACAACGAAUGAUCCUCUAUUCUGAAUUUCAAGGGCUCCUGUGACGAGUGGACAUGCAGUGAGUGUACCUUUAUGUUUCCGAGGUCCCUGGAUGAAGCCUCAAGUAGAUGUCUCAGAUACUCGCUGUGCUAAGAAUUUUACCAUUAAAGUAUGCUAUAACAUCUGGA
Arvicanthis niloticus (Nile rat) is the source of this 1614-nucleotide non-coding RNA. The record is from RefSeq and is a predicted model, not a curated record. NCBI's taxonomy places the organism in Eukaryota, Metazoa, Chordata, Mammalia, Rodentia, Muridae.